GUGCCAGCAGCCGCGGUAAUACGUAGGUGGCAAGCGUUGUCCGGAUUUACUGGGCGUAAAGGAUGCGUAGGCGGACAUUUAAGUCAGAUGUGAAAUACCCGAGCUUAACUUGGGUGCUGCAUUUGAAACUGGGUGUCUAGAGUGCAGGAGAGGUAAGUGGAAUUCCUAGUGUAGCGGUGAAAUGCGUAGAGAUUAGGAAGAACACCAGUGGCGAAGGCGACUUACUGGACUGUAACUGACGCUGAGGCAUGAAAGCGUGGGGAGCAAACAGGAUUAGAUACCCUGGUAGUCC
RNAcentral lists this ribosomal RNA (292 nucleotides) under uncultured microorganism. RNAcentral's name for it is "partial 16S ribosomal RNA". It matches the Rfam family "Bacterial small subunit ribosomal RNA", at positions 505 to 796 of the family's 1533-position model. The record is from RNAcentral.